GGGUGAGUUCUGGGCUGGGCCAGCCCAGCUUGGAGGUGUGAGAGGCUGAGCCACUGCUCAGCUUAGCGGGGGGACCACUUAGUGGCCAGCACCCUGAGGGAGGCCCCAGCAUCCCCUACCUAGCCUGGCAGCACGUGCGGGAUAAAUAUGGGGGCACUGCUGCCUGUGGGCCAGCCCAGCAUAGCCAUGAGUGUGUGGGGAAAGCAGACAGAGACAGGGUCUUGCUCUGGUGCCCAGGCUGAGGUGCCUUGGUGUGAUCACAGCUCACGGUAACCUCGAAUUCCUGGGCUUAAGUGAUCUUCCCACUUCCAUCUCUUGAAUUGCUGACACUACAGGCACCUGCCUCCACCACCAGGCCCAGCCCACAGGUCCUUUGACCUCAGUGACAGGCCCUCACCUACCUGAACCCCCAAACUGAAGCCUCACCUUUCCCAGCCAUCUCCACACACUCUGGGCUACCCUCAGGGGGCCCUGUGGGCAUUCUCAUUACCAUGGCACGUAUUCCCUCUGCUCCAGGACAAAAACAAACGAGGUCCCAGACCUGACCCACAAGACCCAAGCAUUCCA
Molecule: long non-coding RNA, 567 nt
Organism: Mandrillus leucophaeus (drill)
Lineage: Eukaryota; Metazoa; Chordata; Mammalia; Primates; Cercopithecidae
Exons: 2
Source: RefSeq, a predicted model, not a curated record